RNAcentral lists this unclassified non-coding RNA (383 nucleotides) under uncultured bacterium. Its description in RNAcentral is "contains 16S-23S intergenic spacer region". The record is from RNAcentral.
UCCGAGUUGUCCCCGGCAGUCUCCUUAGAGUCCCCGGCAUUACCCGCUGGCAACUAAGGACAGGGGUUGCGCUCGUUGCGGCACUUAAGCCAACACCUCACGGCACGAGCUGACGACAGCCAUGCAGCACCUGUGCUCCGUCCAGCCGAACUGAAGGGUCCGAUCUCUCGGACCCGCGACGGGCAUGUCAAGGGCUGGUAAGGUUCUUCGCGUUGCUUCGAAUUAAACCACAUGCUCCGCUGCUUGUGCGGGUCCCCGUCAAUUCCUUUGAGUUUUAGCCUUGCGGCCGUACUCCCCAGGCGGGGCACUUAAUGCGUUAGCUACGGCACGGGAGGAAUCGACACCUCCCACACCUAGUGCCCAUCGUUUACGGCGUGGACUAC